AAGUACAGAGACUCGUAUUCUAGAACCGCGGAUGGCUCAUUAUAACAGCUAUUAUUUGAGAGAAAUAAACUUUAUUGCCACAAGAUAACUGUGGUAAUUCUAGAGCUAAUAUUUUUAAAAAUGCUGUGACUUCGGAAGCAGCGGAUUUAUNNGUUCAAAANUAACCCNUUNGCNAAANNGGANANUNGGNNANUUUGGAAAACCCNUNCGGUCGGAANACCNUGGGUNGAGGNCANUCNUUUGAAAANGGNUGACCUUNCAACUUUCGGAUGGUAANNUCAAAGCNUACCNUGNUUUUAACGGGUAACNGGGAAUCCAGUUUUCGAUUCCGGAGAGGGANNCUGAAAAACGGCUACCCACUUCCACGGAAGGCAGCNGGCGCGUAAAUUACCCCAAUACCGGGCUCGGUGAGGUAGUGACAAAAAAUAACAAUAUGGGCCCCUAGUGGUUUCAUAAUUGCAAUGAGAANAUUUAAAAUACUUUAUCAAGUNUCAAUUGGANGGCAAGUUUUGUGCCAGCAGCCGCGGUAAUUCCAGCUYCMAAAGCGUAUAUUAAAGUUGUNGCAGUUAAAAAGCUUGUNGUUGAAANUNGGGAAUNNAAAUWGGUUGAAAUCCUUNGAUUGAUAAUCAUUUGGCCCUNGNNCGUCGKGUAUAUUGUUCAGGUACUUUACUGUAUCURANKAAUACCGGCCUAGUUUACUUUGAAAAAAUUAGAGUGCUUAAAGCAGGCUUAUGCUUGUAUAUUGUUGCAUGGAAUAAUAAAAUAAGACUUCGGUUUUAUUUUGUUGGUUUUCGAAACUGAAGUAAUGAUUAAAAGAGACUGCCGGGGGCAUAUGUAUGCUGGUGUUAGAGGUGAAAUUCUUAGAUCAUCAGCAGACAAUCUACUGCGAAAGCAUUUGCCAAGAAUGUUUUCAUUAAUCAAGAACGAAAGUCAGAGGAUCGAAGACGAUCAGAUACCGUCCUAGUUCUGACCAUAAACUAUGCCAACUGACAGUUAGCUAAGGUAUANUCAUAUCCUUGCUAGAAGUCACCGGGAAACCUAAGUCUAUGGGUUCCGGGGGAAGUAUGGUUGCAAAGCUGAAACUUAAAGGAAUUGACGGAAGGGCACCACMAGGAGUGGAGCCUGCGGCUUAAUUUGACUCAACACGGGAAAUCUCACCCGGUCCGGACACUGUGAGGAUUGACAGAUUGAUAGCUCUUUCUUGAUUCGGUGGGUGGUGGUGCAUGGCCGUUCUUAGUUGGUGGAGCGAUUUGUCUGGUUAAUUCCGAUAACGAACGAGACUCGAGCCUGCUAAAUAGUGCAUCUGUGUUAAAUUGCAGAUACUCACUUCUUAGAGGAAUAAAUAGCGUUUAGCUAAAUGAAAAUGAGCAAUAACAGGUCUGUGAUGCCCUUAGAUGUCCGGGGCCGCACGCGCGCUACAAUGUCAGUAACAACGAGUUUUAUUCCUAACCAGAAAUGGUAGGGUAAUCUGGUGAAUCACUGUCGUAUCAGGAAUAGUGGUUUGAAAUUUUUCCACUUGAACGAGGAAUUCCUAGUAAGCGCAAGUCACUAACUUGCGCUGAUUACGUCCCUGCCCUUUGUACACACCGCCCGUCGCUACUACCGAUUGAAUGGUUUAGUGAGAUUGUUGGAUUCUAAUUUAAGAAAUGGCAACAUUUCU
RNAcentral lists this ribosomal RNA (1660 nucleotides) under Microplana sp. MOTU77. RNAcentral's name for it is "partial 18S small subunit ribosomal RNA". It matches the Rfam family "Eukaryotic small subunit ribosomal RNA". Lineage: Eukaryota; Metazoa; Platyhelminthes; Tricladida; Geoplanidae. The record is from RNAcentral.